UUAGUCACCGGCAACCUUAUUUCCAUCUAUGCCCUCUGGUUUUUCUUACAAGUUACAACCAUAUCUCUAGAUCUCAAGUCUCUUCAUCUUCUUCAAUUAAGCAUCAACCAUAUCUCUAGAUCUCAAACUCAUCAAGCAAUAUCAUUUAAUAGACUAUAAACUCCAAAAUCAAUCCUGAACUUUUUCAUACAAAUCCAAAAACACCCUUUUCAUACAGCCCAAAGUUUGCAACUUUUUCUUACAAUCUUGAACGGUGAUAAUAACUUUUAGGUUAGAAUCUUUAAUUUGUUUGGAUAUCUCUCCAACAGUGUGCCGAGGAUUAACUGUGGUGACAAUGGCACCAAGGGCUAUGAUGGAGUACACUGUAACACUGUAUUGAAUUGAAUUUGGGGCGAGGAUGAGAACAACGUCGGUUUUGGUGAUGCCAGUUGGGUGUUGAAGGUGUGUGAGAGUUUAGCGACGGUGGUUUUGAAUUGGGAAAAGGUGAUCUUGAGAUCUGGAUAUCGUUGAUGCUUACUUGAAGAAGAUGAAGAUAUAUGGAUGCAAUUUAUUUAUUUAUUUAUUGAAGGAUUUAUAAGUAGGUUGGUGAAUUGACACAAAUGCCCCUCAUGUGAGAGGCACAUGACUAGUUUUAACCGAGUAAAUGAAUAAAUUAGUGAUGAGGGCCAAAAGGGUUAGAAAAAAGACGUUGGAGGCUCAGAUAUUAAAAGAUUUCUUUUUAUCUUAAAAGGGUAAAAGUGAUAUAAGCACGGGUCAAAAUCAUAAUUUAUUCUAAUAUAAGCUUUUUCUUACUUUAAAGUUAUAUUCCGUCAUUAUAAAUACUCUUUUAUUUUGUUAAGCCCUAGCCGCCCUAACACAACUUCUCCACAAUCGUACCCAGUCACAUACCUUUUUCCGACCACCGGCCGGCCGUCAUCAUCCACCACGCCGGAGCUCAACCAGUCAAUCGUCAGUAUCCCACUCGCUAGGAUUAUGCAGUAUCUAUUUGGUGAUAAUAAUGGUGGUGGCAACUUGUUAUCAUCAGUUACAGAGGUGAGUGUUGCAUUCAAAGUUUUUGAUGAUGGAAUGAGAAAUACAAGAUCUGAUAAGGUGAACAAACAUUCAUGUGUCGUAAAUUGUGGUCAGCGUAUAACAUGAGUUUAAAGUGGACUAGACUACCUUCAUAAUGGUGUUAGCGGGAUUGAACUACCUUCACAUGUUUAUUGACACUCAAUACAAAGUCAUACAUCGUGAUGUCAAAAGCUCUAAAUCUCAGUUUCAAGUUAGGGACAGGUAUACUCUAUAUUAGAUGCAAAGAGUCAAGAAAACGAUAAGUGUUCAGUCCGCAUUGAAUUACAUUCACAUUUGUGUUAUUUUAUAACACAAGUUAUGCAUCGUGACAUAAAGAGGUCAAGUUAUUGACAUUGACAAAGUAAAUAUAUAUUUACUAGCCACACUUCAAAAAGUUUGCACAAGCGUUUGUAACCCUAAGUAAAUAUAUAUUUACUAGCCACACAACAAUGACCAGGCAAAAGAAAAUUUUAAUGGUCUAUUUUUACUAGCUGUACAGGGCCCCUAAGGGGACCUUAGGUAAAAAAAAUCAGGAUACUCCUGAAUUUAUCUUCUA
This is a long non-coding RNA of Helianthus annuus (common sunflower), 1606 nucleotides long. RefSeq lists it as uncharacterized. NCBI's taxonomy places the organism in Eukaryota, Viridiplantae, Streptophyta, Magnoliopsida, Asterales, Asteraceae. The record is from RefSeq and is a predicted model, not a curated record. The transcript has 2 exons.